GCUUAACACAUGCAAGUCGAGGGGCAGCAUGAACUUAGCUUGCUAAGUUUGAUGGCGACCGGCGCACGGGUGAGUAACACGUAUCCAACCUGCCGAUGACUCGGGGAUAGCCUUUCGAAAGAAAGAUUAAUACCCGAUGGCAUAGUUCUUCCGCAUGGUGGAACUAUUAAAGAAUUUCGGUCAUCGAUGGGGAUGCGUUCCAUUAGGUUGUUGGCGGGGUAACGGCCCACCAAGCCUUCGAUGGAUAGGGGUUCUGAGAGGAAGGUCCCCCACAUUGGAAAUGAGACACGGUCCAAACUCCUACGGGAGGCAGCAGUGAGGAAUAUUGGUCAAUGGACGAGAGUCUGAACCAGCCAAGUAGCGUGAAGGAUGACUGCCCUAUGGGUUGUAAACUUCUUUUAUACGGGAAUAAAGUGAGGCACGUGUGCCUUUUUGUAUGUACCGUAUGAAUAAGGAUCGGCUAACUCCGUGCCAGCAGCCGCGGUAAUACGGAGGAUCCGAGCGUUAUCCGGAUUUAUUGGGUUUAAAGGGAGCGUAGGCGGACGCUUAAGUCAGUUGUGAAAGUUUGCGGCUCAACCGUAAAAUUGCAGUUGAUACUGGGUGUCUUGAGUACAGUAGAGGCAGGCGGAAUUCGUGGUGUAGCGGUGAAAUGCUUAGAUAUCACGAAGAACUCCGAUUGCGAAGGCAGCUUGCUGGACUGUAA
Molecule: ribosomal RNA, 703 nt
Filed under: uncultured Bacteroidales bacterium
Lineage: Bacteria; Pseudomonadati; Bacteroidota; Bacteroidia; Bacteroidales
Description: bacterial SSU rRNA
Rfam family: Bacterial small subunit ribosomal RNA
Source: RNAcentral